RNAcentral lists this non-coding RNA (21 nucleotides) under Caenorhabditis elegans. Lineage: Eukaryota; Metazoa; Nematoda; Chromadorea; Rhabditida; Rhabditidae. The record is from RNAcentral.
UUUAUUCAUUUUGUUCAUUCU